GAAUUUAAAAAAAAUACUGAAAGCACCAGUUCUUGCCCCAUCAAUGCCGAUCACUGAAGUUAAGCAUUAUUGAGCAUGGUCAAUACUUAGAUGGGUCACCGCUUGGAAACAUCACGUAUUGUUGGCA
RNAcentral lists this ribosomal RNA (127 nucleotides) under Dufourea novaeangliae. Lineage: Eukaryota; Metazoa; Arthropoda; Insecta; Hymenoptera; Halictidae. The record is from RNAcentral.